This 497-nucleotide ribosomal RNA is filed under the name uncultured bacterium. RNAcentral's name for it is "partial 16S ribosomal RNA". It matches the Rfam family "Bacterial small subunit ribosomal RNA", at positions 28 to 507 of the family's 1533-position model. The record is from RNAcentral.
GACGAACGCUGGCGGCGUGCCUAAUACAUGCAAGUUGAGCGCUGAAGGUUGGUCCUUGUACCAACUGGAUGAGCAGCGAACGGGUGAGUAACGCGUGGGGAAUCUGCCUUUGAGCGGGGGACAACAUUUGGAAACGAAUGCUAAUACCGCAUAAAAACUUUAAACACAAGUUUUAAGUUUGAAAGAUGCAAUUGCAUCACUCAAAGAUGAUCCCGCGUUGUAUUAGCUAGUUGGUGAGGUAAAGGCUCACCAAGGCGAUGAUACAUAGCCGACCUGAGAGGGUGAUCGGCCACAUUGGGACUGAGACACGGCCCAAACUCCUACAGGAGGCAGCAGUAGGGAAUCUUCGGCAAUAGACGAAAGUCUGACCGAGCAACGCCGCGUGAGUGAAGAAGGUUUUCGGAUCGUAAAACUCUGUUGGUAGAGAAGAACGUUAGUGAGAGUGGAAAGCUCAUCAAGUGACGGUAACUACCCAGAAAGGGACGGCUAACUACGUG